Lemur catta (Ring-tailed lemur) is the source of this 193-nucleotide long non-coding RNA. RefSeq lists it as uncharacterized. The transcript has 3 exons. The record is from RefSeq and is a predicted model, not a curated record. NCBI's taxonomy places the organism in Eukaryota, Metazoa, Chordata, Mammalia, Primates, Lemuridae.
GUGAGAUAUCGUUCCGGGGUCGUUCACCGGCGGACUGAGGAAACGCUGGUCUGGACAGCUGCACCGGCUCCCUUCUGUGCUCAAGACCAAUGGAAAACACUCCGGAGAUUCAACAUGAUAUUUGAAUUUUAUGGAUUUCCAUCUGUCACAUUAAUGAAGAAUUUUAUUUCUUUCUCCAUCUUUCUGAUGACCC